This 1632-nucleotide long non-coding RNA is filed under the name Callithrix jacchus (white-tufted-ear marmoset). RNAcentral describes it as "lncRNA (ENSCJAG00000074781.1)". Lineage: Eukaryota; Metazoa; Chordata; Mammalia; Primates; Cebidae. The record is from RNAcentral.
CAGAGAGAAAGCAAAUGCAGAUGUUGAGGAAAGGAUAGUUGUUUCCUUAAGUCAUGACAAAUGAUGUCACUUCAAGUAUUAAUAUGACAUAUAACUCCUGUAAACUACUUUACCAGCUUGGGAUACAGAUAUGCCAUCACCUCUAACAUCCUCAGAUUAUCAUUUGCAUCCCCUGAAUUGUUUGUGGAAAACACAGAAUUCUUUUUAAGACCUCUCCUACCCUAACACCACAUCCAAUUGCUAAAAGGGGGUAAGGCCCUGGGAGUCUACGCUCUGCUAGUUUGGGGUGAGGAGGGGCAGUUGCAGUCCUGCCUUAAAUACAAGCUUCUGGGUCUUUCCUGCUUUUUGUUGCCUCAUAAUAUCACUUUAAAGGACUGUCCUGUGCUGUCUUGCAAAAGUGAGUCACUGUGUGGUAAUGUUCCACCGAAGUCCCUGAUGGUGACUUACACUUGUGGCGCGAUCUUGGCUCACCGCAACCUCCGCCUCCUGGGUUCAGGCAAUUCUCCUGCCUCAGCCUCCUGAGUAGCUGGGAUUACAGGCAUGCACCACUAUGCCCAGCUAAUUUUUUGUAUUUUUAGUUGAGACGGGGUUUCACCAUGUUGACCAGGAUGGUCUCGAUCUCUUGACCUCGUGAUCCACCCGCCUCAGCCUCCCAAAGUGCUGGGAUUACAGGCUUGAGCCACUGCGCCCGGCCCUCCCCAGGUCUCUUGUCUUUCCCUUUCUUAUUCCAGAAGUCACACUUCUUUCUAGAAAAUUUCCUUAAAAUAUUUGGCUGAUGUCCAUUGCAUACAAAGUAAAUUUAAACUGCUCCGUUUGAUAUUUAACACCUUGGCUCCAACUUAUUUGCCUCGUUUUAUUCUACCACUCCAACAGACUCUGAUCUUGCCAUGCUCUCUGUUUGAUAGUUCCUGAAAACAUAUACUGUACAUUUUCUGCAUUCUUUGUUCAAAUUAUGUUUUAUGUCUAGAAAGCUACCCCCUUACCCCCAGUAUACUGCAUCUGAAUGCUCCAGUGGAACACAAAAUCUUGGCAGGUAAUUAGAUCUCACACAACUCUGCCCUUCCCCGAUCCUAACACAGGGCUGUGCAUACAGAAGCAAAUCAGUAAAUGUUUAAGUUGAACUCCAAAAAAAUGAACAGAAAGAAUGUAAACAUAAAGAGCAAAAGCAUCUGCUAUAGUAUUAUAUUUUACGUCAAGAAAUGACAAUUUUCACUUUUUAAGAAGAGGCUAAUCAAUAACAGCAGUCGUCAAUUCAGGUAAAUGUACUUAAAUUGGUAUAAUGUUAAGCUUUAUAACCAUUUAGUAUGACAAACUCAGGCAAAGCUAAUUUCAACCUGGAUGAAUAUUUCCAUUUCAGAGUUUAAUUCAAUCAAGUAAAGUAAAUAAUCAGUAACAUCUGCUUUGUCUCAAGAAACGUCUUGAUCACUGAACUAGCUUUAAUGAGAUAAGCGACUAACUGUAUUACUCCUCUAACACAUGGCAUGGACGGAAUGGGCUCCAGAAACGAAUGAUGUGCUUUAGUGUAAGAAAACACAUAGUGUGCAAUGUUAAUUCAACCGUCUGAGAAUCUGGAGAUGGCAUUUAUAUUAAAGGCAUGACAUAUCCCUCUUUUAAUUAGCCUCAAAUUUUCUU